AACGCUAGCUACAGGCUUAACACAUGCAAGUCGAGGGGAAACGAUAGAGAAAGCUUGCUUUUUCUAGGCGUCGACCGGCGCACGGGUGAGUAACGCGUAUCCAACCUGCCCAUCACUUGGGGAUAACCUUGCGAAAGUAAGACUAAUACCCAAUGAUAUCCGUCGAAGACAUCUGAAGUGGAUUAAAGAUUCAUCGGUGAUGGAUGGGGAUGCGUCUGAUUAGCUUGUUGGCGGGGUAACGGCCCACCAAGGCGACGAUCAGUAGGGGUUCUGAGAGGAAGGUCCCCCACAUUGGAACUGAGACACGGUCCAAACUCCUACGGGAGGCAGCAGUGAGGAAUAUUGGUCAAUGGACGAGAGUCUGAACCAGCCAAGUAGCGUGCAGGAUGACGGCCCUAUGGGUUGUAAACUGCUUUUAUAAGGGAAUAAAGUUAGAGUCGUGACUCUUUUUGCAUGUACCUUAUGAAUAAGGACCGGCUAAUUCCGUGCCAGCAGCCGCGGUAAUACGGAAGGUCCGGGCGUUAUCCGGAUUUAUUGGGUUUAAAGGGAGCGUAGGCCGGAGAUUAAGCGUGUUGUGAAAUGUAGAUGCUCAACAUCUGCACUGCAGCGCGAACUGGUUUCCUUGAGUACGCACAAAGUGGGCGGAAUUCGUGGUGUAGCGGUGAAAUGCUUAGAUAUCACGAAGAACUCCGAUUG
This 696-nucleotide ribosomal RNA is filed under the name uncultured Bacteroidales bacterium. RNAcentral describes it as "bacterial SSU rRNA". It matches the Rfam family "Bacterial small subunit ribosomal RNA", at positions 32 to 715 of the family's 1533-position model. The record is from RNAcentral. Lineage: Bacteria; Pseudomonadati; Bacteroidota; Bacteroidia; Bacteroidales.